CCUACGGGAGGCAGCAGUGAGGAAUAUUGGUCAAUGGCCGGAAGGCUGAACCAGCCAUGCCGCGUGAAGGUCAGUGCCCUAUGGGCGUUAAACUUCUUUUGUGCGUGCGCAAUAAUGGUCACGUUUGGCCAGACGAGAGUACCGUACGAAAAAGCAUCGGCUAACUGCGUUCCAGACGCCGCGGGAAUACGGGGGAUGCAAGGGUUAUCCGGAAUUAUUGGGUUUAAAGGGUGCGUAGGCUGUGAGGUAAGUCAGCGGUGAAAUGCCCCCGCUCAACGGGGUGAAGUGCCAUUGAAACUGCCUUGCUGGAAUGCGGAUGCCGUGGGAGGAAUGUGUGGUGUAGCGGUGAAAUGCAUAGAUAUCACACAGAACACCGAUUGCGAAGGCAUCUCACGAAUCCGCGAUUGACGCUGAUGCACGAAAGCGUGGGUAUCAAACAGGAUUAGAUACCCGGGUAGUC
This 460-nucleotide ribosomal RNA is filed under the name uncultured bacterium. RNAcentral describes it as "partial 16S ribosomal RNA". It matches the Rfam family "Bacterial small subunit ribosomal RNA", at positions 338 to 795 of the family's 1533-position model. The record is from RNAcentral.